Molecule: ribosomal RNA, 450 nt
Filed under: uncultured bacterium
Lineage: Bacteria
Description: bacterial SSU rRNA
Rfam family: Bacterial small subunit ribosomal RNA
Source: RNAcentral
GUGGGGAAUUUUGGACAAUGGGCGAAAGCCUGAUCCAGCCAUGCCGCGUGUGUGAAGAAGGUCUUCGGAUUGUAAAGCACUUUAAGUUGGGAGGAAGGGCAGUAAGUUAAUACCUUGCUGUUUUGACGUUACCGACAGAAUAAGCACCGGCUAACUUCGUGCCAGCAGCCGCGGUAAUACGAAGGGUGCAAGCGUUAAUCGGAAUUACUGGGCGUAAAGCGCGCGUAGGUGGUUUUGUAAGUUGGAGGUGAAAUCCCCGGGCUCAACCUGGGAACUGCCUCCAAAACUGCAUGACUAGAGUACGGGAGAGGGUAGUGGAAUGUCCGGUGUAGCGGUGAAAUGCGUAGAUAUAGGAAGGAACACCAGUGGCGAAGGCGACUACCUGGACUGAUACUGACACUGAGGUGCGAAAGCGUGGGGAGCAAACAGGAUUAGAAACCCCGGUAGUCC